CCUACGGGAGGCAGCAGUGGGGAAUCUUGCGCAAUGGGCGAAAGCCUGACGCAGCCAUGCCGCGUGGAUGAUGAAGGUCUUAGGAUUGUAAAAUCCUUUCACCGGUGAAGAUAAUGACUGUAGCCGGAGAAGAAGCCCCGGCUAACUUCGUGCCAGCAGCCGCGGUAAUACGAAGGGGGCUAGCGUUGCUCGGAAUUACUGGGCGUAAAGGGAGCGUAGGCGGACAUUUAAGUCAGAGGUGAAAUCCCGGAGCUUAACUUCGGAACUGCCUUUGAUACUGGGUGUCUUGAGUGUGAGAGAGGUAUGUGGAACUCCGAGUGUAGAGGUGAAAUUCGUAGAUAUUCGGAAGAACACCAGUGGCGAAGGCGACAUACUGGCUCAUUACUGACGCUGAGGCUCGAAAGCGUGGGGAGCAAACAGGAUUAGAUACCCUGGUAGUCCACGCCGUAAACGAUGAUUGCUAGUUGUCGGGAAGCUUGCUUCUCGGUGACGCAGCUAACGCAUUAAGCAAUCCGCCUGGGGAGUACGGUCGCAAGAUUAAAACCUCAAAGGAAUUGACGG
RNAcentral lists this ribosomal RNA (561 nucleotides) under uncultured bacterium. RNAcentral's name for it is "bacterial SSU rRNA". It matches the Rfam family "Bacterial small subunit ribosomal RNA", at positions 338 to 916 of the family's 1533-position model. The record is from RNAcentral.